Molecule: small nucleolar RNA, 231 nt
Filed under: Ursus americanus (American black bear)
Lineage: Eukaryota; Metazoa; Chordata; Mammalia; Carnivora; Ursidae
Source: RNAcentral
GAGCCGCCCCCGCCGCCGCCCGAGCCCNUCCAGAGGAAGCUGAGGCAUGACUGCUCAAGAGCCAGCGGUUCUAUGUGCAAUUUUCCUCUGAUAGUCCCGGGUACUGUUGCCACGGUGAUAAUGGCUGUGCCGUGUCGUUAUCUAUCCACCAACAGUAAGAGAAGCUUUGCAGUCGAGAUAUUGUUUAACAGACGGAGUGGUUUCUGUUGGACACUAAGUACUGCUACAAAU